This 427-nucleotide ribosomal RNA is filed under the name uncultured bacterium. RNAcentral's name for it is "partial 16S ribosomal RNA". It matches the Rfam family "Bacterial small subunit ribosomal RNA", at positions 355 to 774 of the family's 1533-position model. The record is from RNAcentral.
UGGGGAAUAUUGCACAAUGGGCGCAAGCCUGCUGCAGCCAUGCCGCGUGUAUGAAGAAGGCCUUCGGGUUGUAAAGUACUUUCAGCGGGGAGGAAGGCGAUAAGGUUAAUAACCUUGUCGAUUGACGUUACCCGCAGAAGAAGCACCGGCUAACUCCGUGCCAGCAGCCGCGGUAAUACGGAGGGUGCAAGCGUUAAUCGGAAUUACUGGGCGUAAAGCGCACGCAGGCGGUCUGUCAAGUCGGAUGUGAAAUCCCCGGGCUCAACCUGGGAACUGCAUUCGAAACUGGCAGGCUAGAGUCUUGUAGAGGGGGGUAGAAUUCCAGGUGUAGCGGUGAAAUGCGUAGAGAUCUGGAGGAAUACCGGUGGCGAAGGCGGCCCCCUGGACAAAGACUGACGCUCAGGUGCGAAAGCGUGGGGAGCAAACA